RNAcentral lists this ribosomal RNA (659 nucleotides) under Pseudogemmobacter blasticus. RNAcentral describes it as "bacterial SSU rRNA". It matches the Rfam family "Bacterial small subunit ribosomal RNA", at positions 64 to 769 of the family's 1533-position model. Lineage: Bacteria; Pseudomonadati; Pseudomonadota; Alphaproteobacteria; Rhodobacterales; Paracoccaceae. The record is from RNAcentral.
GAGCGAGAUCUUCGGAUCUAGCGGCGGACGGGUGAGUAACGCGUGGGAACGUGCCUCUUGCUACGGAAUAGCCCUGGGAAACUGGGAGUAAUACCGUAUGUGCCCUUCGGGGGAAAGAUUUAUCGGCAAGAGAUCGGCCCGCGUUGGAUUAGGUAGUUGGUGGGGUAAUGGCCUACCAAGCCGACGAUCCAUAGCUGGUUUGAGAGGAUGAUCAGCCACACUGGGACUGAGACACGGCCCAGACUCCUACGGGAGGCAGCAGUGGGGAAUCUUAGACAAUGGGCGCAAGCCUGAUCUAGCCAUGCCGCGUGAGCGAUGAAGGCCUUAGGGUUGUAAAGCUCUUUCAGCGAGGAAGAUAAUGACUGUACUCGCAGAAGAAGCCCCGGCUAACUCCGUGCCAGCAGCCGCGGUAAUACGGAGGGGGCUAGCGUUGUUCGGAAUUACUGGGCGUAAAGCGCACGUAGGCGGACUGGAAAGUCAGGGGUGAAAUCCCGGGGCUCAACCCCGGAACUGCCUUUGAAACUCCCAGUCUUGAGUUCGAGAGAGGUGAGUGGAAUUCCGAGUGUAGAGGUGAAAUUCGUAGAUAUUCGGAGGAACACCAGUGGCGAAGGCGGCUCACUGGCUCGAUACUGACGCUGAGGUGCGAAAGCGUGGGGAGC